GUGCCAGCCGCCGCGGUAAUACAGAGGGUGCGAGCGUUGUUCGGAAUUACUGGGCGUAAAGCGCGCGCAAACAGCCUUUUAAGUCUACCCGUGAAAUGCCAAAACUCAACUCCGUGCACGCCGGGGGAUACUGGGAGGCUGGAGACAUGUAGAGGCAAGCGGAAUUCCGGGUGUAGCGGUGGAAUGCGUAGAGAUCCGGAAGAACACCUGAGGCGAAGGCGGCUUGCUGGGCAUGAUCUGACGCUGAGGCGCGAAAGCGUGGGGAGCAAACAGGAUUAGAUACCCCGGUAGUCC
RNAcentral lists this ribosomal RNA (294 nucleotides) under uncultured bacterium. RNAcentral's name for it is "partial 16S ribosomal RNA". It matches the Rfam family "Bacterial small subunit ribosomal RNA", at positions 505 to 796 of the family's 1533-position model. The record is from RNAcentral.